Nicotiana tabacum (common tobacco) is the source of this 725-nucleotide non-coding RNA. NCBI's taxonomy places the organism in Eukaryota, Viridiplantae, Streptophyta, Magnoliopsida, Solanales, Solanaceae. The record is from RefSeq and is a predicted model, not a curated record.
AUAGUAGGUCGGUGGAGAAUAGCAUUCAACAUCCCCCACAUGAUCCUGCGUAUAGUUACAUGGGUCUAUCGAGUCAGCAGUCACAGGGCCAUGUGGUGAUACGCUCGUCAUCUGCUCCAUUUUCUUCAUCACCAGCUUGAUCAUAUCCAUCUAGAUUUCAGCCAGCCGGAUCGCAGCAGGGGUCUAGAUCAUUGCAGAGGUGUGGAUCGCAGCCAUCUUCAUCAGCGACAUUGUCUCCCUCUCCACGGAGUUCGUCUCCUAGCAUUUCUAGAUUUCGCCUUCGGGAUAGUAGCGCUGAGCCAGAUGGCCCCCUUCUACGCACGCUUCAGAUUCAUCGGAGGAUAAUGAUCCAGAGGAAGUGCGGUAUGAUCGUUAUCAUAGGAUGAUCAUCAGGCCUGAGGGCAAUGGACUAAGUGUGCCUAGGAGGACCGAUAUAACAGUGAAAUUCUUGCAAAUUUUGUGUUCAAAUACCGUACGAGACAAUCUGAUUCCUUCAGCUCUUCUCAAAGAAGAGCAAGAAGCCUUCAUGGGUUCUACCGCAUAUAUGGGGGGAUCUGCUGAGGCAGUGGACCACCGAGAAAUUCAAGAAGAGGAGUGAACAGGGAAAGAAGGCUCGAGCAUCUGAGAAGGGUGGCUCCUUGCAUUGUGUGGGUGCAAGAAGCAUGGGGACUGCGAGAAGACUACUGGAAAAGAAAUAUGGGAGGAAGAUGACUCAUGAUGAGUUC